AGAGACAGCAGUAGCCGCGGGAACACGAAGGGGGCUAGCGUUGUUCGGAUUUACUGGGCGUAAAGCGCACGUAGGCGGACUUCUAAGUCAGGGGUGAAAUCCCGGGGCUCAACCCCGGAACUGCCUUUGAUACUGGAAGUCCUGAGUAUGGUAGAGGUGAGUGGAAUUCCGAGUGUAAAGGUGAAAUUCGUAGAUAUUCGGAGGAACACCAGUGGCGAAGGCGGCUCACUGGACCAUUACUGACGCUGAGGUGCGAAAACGUGGGGAGCAAACAGGAUUAGAUACCCCCGUAGUCCCUGUCUCUUAUAC
This 309-nucleotide ribosomal RNA is filed under the name uncultured bacterium. RNAcentral's name for it is "partial 16S ribosomal RNA". It matches the Rfam family "Bacterial small subunit ribosomal RNA", at positions 504 to 807 of the family's 1533-position model. The record is from RNAcentral.